This 349-nucleotide long non-coding RNA is filed under the name Spirodela polyrhiza (greater duckweed). RNAcentral's name for it is "long non-coding RNA (SPOL_LNC000625)". Lineage: Eukaryota; Viridiplantae; Streptophyta; Magnoliopsida; Alismatales; Araceae. The record is from RNAcentral.
CACCUUGUCUCCAAGCUGCUGCUUCAACCAGUCGCACAGCAGGGUGUACUCCUGCUUGUUCUCUCUGUCCUUCACCUCAUCCUCAUCACCUGGUUUGAGAUCUCAAAUCACUGUAAGUGGGGAGAAGAGAGAGAGAGAGAGAGAGAGAGAGAGAGAGAGAGAGAGCGCAGAUAAACUCACCCAAUUCAAGGUCUUCUUUGCUGAUAUCAACAAAUUUCUUCUCUUUGUAGGUCUGCAGGUUCUGGAUUGCGACCUCGUCGAUAGGCUCGACCAGGUAGAGGACCUGGGGGAAGCAACAAGAAAGAGGAUUCAGACUAUGUGGGCAUGAGAGAAGAGUUACAAAGGGCCG